AAUUGAGUUGGUAUUGAUUCCCAGGUCUCAUGCCCCUGAACUACGUGCCCCCGUAGGUUUCUGAUCUACCCCAAGUGGGUUAAGAUAGUGAUCACUAAAGUUAAGGUUCUAUCCGAUGGCAAGGAUAGAGCAGCUCUCCCCAAUGUGGGUAAGAUGUUGGACUCCAUAUAGCUCAAAUGGUUUAUGUCGGUUAGAAGAAACUCCCAAAGUUGUCCCUC
This 218-nucleotide long non-coding RNA is filed under the name Capsicum annuum. RNAcentral's name for it is "long non-coding RNA (CANN_LNC019617)". The record is from RNAcentral. Lineage: Eukaryota; Viridiplantae; Streptophyta; Magnoliopsida; Solanales; Solanaceae.